RNAcentral lists this long non-coding RNA (790 nucleotides) under Citrus x clementina. RNAcentral describes it as "Citrus clementina (C. clementina) long non-coding RNA (CCLE_LNC001504)". The record is from RNAcentral. Lineage: Eukaryota; Viridiplantae; Streptophyta; Magnoliopsida; Sapindales; Rutaceae.
UAGAUGUGAAUUGUGUCAAUUUCGCAUUCAAAUGGAUUAGAUUUUAAUUUAUUUCACAGAUCCAUGAAUUAGCUUGAAUUAAAAAUCUAUUAUCUACAAAAUCAUGGAUCAAAUAUGCAUUAAUGUUUGAUCUGCAAAAUCCUACUCACGAACGCCCUUAUUUAUUACUCACGAAUGCCCCUAUUUGUUAGUCCCAUGAUCUGGGGUUGAUUUUCACAUCAUUAAUUGUACCUUUUUACCCUUGGCGUCGACGAUUUUAGGCCAUUUUAAUUUUUUUUCUUUUAUGAGUCUUGAUAUUAAUAUUACAUUCUUAGUCGAGGUCUAUUUAAUUAAUUUGAAAUGGGUAUCCAUGUGGCUGAGCUCUAACAGCUCAGGCAUAACAAUGCAAUUAUCAGGGAUGCGCUUUACCACUGAACUAAUCGCCUGUCGUGCAGGCCUAUUGCUAAGGGCGCUCUAUGCUAAAGUGAGAAAAGCCCAAUCCUUUCUUUCUUUUGUACGCCCUAGUUAGGAGUUUGAUGUGUCUUCACUGUCAGGAGGUGAAAAGAAAGAAGGACAAGACUCAAAGGUGGCCCUUUUUUGAAGACGGGAAUUCCACUUGCGAAUCCCAGGCUCCCAGCAUACCCCGGGUUGGGAUGGGUAGGCCCACCACUUCACGUUCACUUAGGCCCAGGCCAAGUCAGUUGGGGGACCUUGUCGAGCUCCUCCCCCACCCCCAACCCAAAAAAAAAGAACCUUGGUCAAGGACCUUGUCGUCGGGGUCCUCCAAAUAAAUAAAUAAAAAAAGAAAGAA